GAGGACUUAGCUUAAUUAAAGUGGCUGAUUUGCGUUCAGUUGAUGUAAGACGUAAUCUUGCAGUCUUUA
This 69-nucleotide transfer RNA is filed under the name Nanger dama (Dama gazelle). Its description in RNAcentral is "tRNA-Ala". It matches the Rfam family "tRNA". From Rfam's summary of the family: Transfer RNA (tRNA) molecules are approximately 80 nucleotides in length. Their secondary structure includes four short double-helical elements and three loops (D, anti-codon, and T loops). Lineage: Eukaryota; Metazoa; Chordata; Mammalia; Artiodactyla; Bovidae. The record is from RNAcentral.